GAUGAACGCUGGCGGCGUGCCUAAUACAUGCAAGUCGAGCGAACGGACGAGAAGCUUGCUUCUCUGAUGUUAGCGGCGGACGGGAGAGUAACAUGUGGAUAACCUACCUAUAAGACUGGGAUAACUUCGGGAAACCGUAGCUAAUACCGGAUAAUAUUUUGAACCGCAUGGUGCAAGAGUGAAAGACGGUCUUGCUGUCACUUAUAGACGGAUCCGCGCUGCAUUAGCUAGUUGGUAAGGUAACGGCUUACCAAGGCAACGAUGCAUAGCCGACCUGAGCGGGUGUUGGGCCACACAGGAGGUGAGACGCGGCCCAGACACCUACGGGAGGCAGAAGCAGGGAAGGGUCGGAACAGGGCGAAAUCCUGACGGAGGAACGACGCGUGAGUGAUGCGGGUCCUCGGAUCGUAAAACGCUGUUAGGAGGGAAGAACAUAUGUGUAAGUAACUGAGCACAUCUUGACGGUACCGCAGCAGAAAGCCACGGCUAAUUACGU
This 496-nucleotide ribosomal RNA is filed under the name uncultured bacterium. RNAcentral describes it as "partial 16S ribosomal RNA". It matches the Rfam family "Bacterial small subunit ribosomal RNA", at positions 28 to 506 of the family's 1533-position model. The record is from RNAcentral.